GAAGGAUCAUUAUCGAAUGAAUUUGAACAGGCUGUUGCUGGCUUCUUCCAGAGCAUGUGCACGCUUGUCAUCUCUCAUGUUUCCAACUGUGCACACACUGUAGAUUCUGGUGGUAAUUUAUUGCAAAUAGAUUGAGGAUUUGCCAUGUCUGGCUUUCCUUGUCCCCCCCCCUGGUCUAUGUUUUAUUUUUUCACAAUAUGGUAUUAGAAUGUGGGCAACAAUUGUAAUUUUAUACAACUUUCAGCAACGGAUCUCUUGGCUCUCGCAUCGAUGAAGAACGCAGCGAAAUGCGAUAAGUAAUGUGAAUUGCAGAAUUCAGUGAAUCAUCGAAUCUUUGAACGCAUCUUGCGCUCCUUGGUAUUCCGAGGAGCAUGCCUGUUUGAGUGUCAUCAAGUUCUCAAACUGCAUCCAUUGAAGGGUGUGGAUUUGGAUUAUGGAGUUUGCAGGCUCUUUGAUUGAGGUCUGCUCCUCUGAAACGUAUUAGUGGCGAUGUGGAAAAAGCUACUGUGGGUGUGAUAAAUCAUCUAUGCCUAUGCAGUGUUCUGCUA
This 548-nucleotide ribosomal RNA is filed under the name Inocybe dunensis. RNAcentral's name for it is "eukaryotic LSU rRNA". The stretch from base 236 to 389 matches the Rfam family "5.8S ribosomal RNA". Lineage: Eukaryota; Fungi; Basidiomycota; Agaricomycetes; Agaricales; Inocybaceae. The record is from RNAcentral.